This 253-nucleotide ribosomal RNA is filed under the name uncultured bacterium. Its description in RNAcentral is "partial 16S ribosomal RNA". It matches the Rfam family "Bacterial small subunit ribosomal RNA", at positions 524 to 776 of the family's 1533-position model. The record is from RNAcentral.
GACGUAGGAGGCGAGCGUUAUCCGGAUUCACUGGGCGUAAAGCGCAUGUAGGCGGGUGCACAAGUCCGUUGUUAAAGCCCCUGGCUCAACUGGGGGAGGUCAAUGGAGACUGUGCGACUUGAGGGCAAUAGAGGCACGUGGAACUCCCGGUGUAGCGGUGGAAUGCGUAGAGAUCGGGAAGAACACCAGUGGCGAAGGCGACGUGCUGGGUUGCACCUGACGCUGAGAUGCGAAAGUGUGGGGAGCAAACGGG